Thunnus maccoyii (southern bluefin tuna) is the source of this 579-nucleotide long non-coding RNA. RefSeq lists it as uncharacterized. The transcript is spliced from 3 exons. Lineage: Eukaryota; Metazoa; Chordata; Actinopteri; Scombriformes; Scombridae. The record is from RefSeq and is a predicted model, not a curated record.
ACUGUGGGAGGAAGUGUCACAUAUGGAUGCCUCAAUACUGUCUAUGGAAGCAGGAAGUUCUUCUGUAAGGAUGAAUGUAAAAAAGAAGAAGACAUCCUGGUUGAAACAGAAGAGAACAGAGCUCACAACGGCAGAUACAGCAUUGAAUAUAGAGAAGGAUCUGAAUCUGGACUGUAUGUGACCAUCACACAGCUGAAGAAGUCAGACACAGGAUGGUACAGGUGUGGUCACGGCAGAGCUUCGUCUCCAGAUUCAUCUGACACGUUCCCGAUCUUUGUUGUAGAUGCUCCAACCACUUCAGAACCAAACUGGACUCUCCGACCUUUUCCAACAUCAGUCCCAUCAGCCUCCACACCAACAACAACACAGAGUUUAAUCUCCAGUUCAGGAAGCUUCACACCUUCAUCAUCUUUCCCUGAAACCACAGAGCAGUUUACAGCUCCAACCACUUCAAAACCAAACCGGACUCUCCGACCUUUUCCAACAUCAGUCCCAUCAGCCUCCACACCAACAACAACACAGAGUUUAAUCUCCAGUUCAGGAAGCUUCACACCUUCAUCAUCUUUCCCUGAAACCACA